GGGGCAGGGUGAGUCGACCCCUAAGGCGAGGCCGAAAGGCGUAGUCGAUGGGAAACAGGUUAAUAUUCCUGUACUUGGUGUUACUGCGAAGGGGGGACGGAGAAGGCUAUGUUGGCCGGGCGACGGUUGUCCCGGUUUAAGCGUGUAGGCUGGUUUUCCAGGCAAAUCCGGAAAAUCAAGGCUGAGGCGUGAUGACGAGGCACUACGGUGCUGAAGCAACAAAUGCCCUGCUUCCAGGAAAAGCCUCUAAGCAUCAGGUAACAUCAAAUCGUACCCCAAACCGACACAGGUGGUCAGGUAGAGAAUACCAAGGCGCUUGAGAGAACUCGGGUGAAGGAACUAGGCAAAAUGGUGCCGUAACUUCGGGAGAAGGCACGCUGAUAUGUAGGUGAAGUCCCUUGCGGAUGGAGCUGAAAUCAGUCGAAGAUACCAGCUGGCUGCAACUGUUUAUUAAAAACACAGCACUGUGCAAACACGAAAGUGGACGUAUACGGUGUGACGCCUGCCCGGUGCCGGAAGGUUAAUUGAUGGGGUCAGCGCAAGCGAAGCUCUUGAUCGAAGCCCCGGUAAACGGCGGCCGUAACUAUAACGGUCCUAAGGUAGCGAAAUUCCUUGUCGGGUAAGUUCCGACCUGCACGAAUGGCGUAAUGAUGGCCAGGCUGUCUCCACCCGAGACUCAGUGAAAUUGAACUCGCUGUGAAGAUGCAGUGUACCCGCGGCAAGACGGAAAGACCCCGUGAACCUUUACUAUAGCUUGACACUGAACAUUGAGCCUUGAUGUGUAGGAUAGGUGGGAGGCUUUGAAGUGUGGACGCCAGUCUGCAUGGAGCCGGCCUUGAAAUACCACCCUUUAAUGUUUGAUGUUCUAACGUGGACCCGUGAUCCGGGUUGCGGACAGUGUCUGGUGGGUAGUUUGACUGGGGCGGUCUCCUCCUAAAGAGUAACGGAGGAGCACGAAGGUUGGCUAAUCCUGGUCGGACAUCAGGAGGUUAGUGCAAUGGCAUAAGCCAGCUUGACUGCGAGCGUGACGGCGCGAGCAGGUGCGAAAGCAGGUCAUAGUGAUCCGGUGGUUCUGAAUGGAAGGGCCAUCGCUCAACGGAUAAAAGGUACUCCGGGGAUAACAGGCUGAUACCGCCCAAGAGUUCAUAUCGACGGCGGUGUUUGGCACCUCGAUGUCGGCUCAUCACAUCCUGGGGCUGAAGUAGGUCCCAAGGGUAUGGCUGUUCGCCAUUUAAAGUGGUACGCGAGCUGGGUUUAGAACGUCGUGAGACAGUUCGGUCCCUAUCUGCCGUGGGCGCUGGAGAACUGAGGGGGGCUGCUCCUAGUACGAGAGGACCGGAGUGGACGCAUCACUGGUGUUCGGGUUGUCAUGCCAAUGGCACUGCCCGGUAGCUAAAUGCGGAAGAGAUAAGUGCUGAAAGCAUCUAAGCACGAAACUUGCCCCGAGAUGAGUUCUCCCUGACCCUUUAAGGGUCCUGAAGGAACGUUGAAGACGACGACGUUGAUAGGCCGGGUGUGUAAGCGCAGCGAUGCGUUGAGCUAACCGGUACUAAUGAACCGUGAGG
This 1565-nucleotide ribosomal RNA is filed under the name Shigella sonnei. RNAcentral's name for it is "partial 23S ribosomal RNA". It matches the Rfam family "Bacterial large subunit ribosomal RNA", at positions 1371 to 2915 of the family's 2925-position model. Lineage: Bacteria; Pseudomonadati; Pseudomonadota; Gammaproteobacteria; Enterobacterales; Enterobacteriaceae. The record is from RNAcentral.